AGCUUGUGGGUUUCAGCUGCCCUCCUGUGGCCUGGAAAACCGAAGCCAGGGACCCCCUCUGGGGGGGGCGGGUUUGGUUGCCAUGGAGACUUUUUACCUCUCAACCAGCUGAUGUCUGAGCUCCGCCCCCUGCAUCUCCCCAGGUUGGGCCGCCCCUGCUGGGCAGAGUUCUGAGCUCAGACGUGGUCCCUGCCGGGGAAAUGAGACAGGCCAUGCAGAACAGAGGGGGUCCAGCUUUGCCCCGACAACAGUCAUGGUAACUCAGAUGUGCUGAAUGCUCACUCCUGGUGGGGGCCCUCUGUCAGCACCCCAUCUGCUCCCCCACCACCCUGGGAAGUGGAUGACUGCACCCGAACACCUUCAACGACCCAAUAGCGACGCCCUGCCAAAUAUUUCUCAGGAUGCACCAGGUCCUCAUUCAACACACGUUUGCGGUGGGGGACCUGCAAACACGACUGGAUGCUUGCUGUUCUCAGGCCCUGUGAGUGGAGACACCCAGCUCUGACCCUGGGCUGCCUGCACUCCUGGGCAGGCCUCUGGCCCGGCCUGUGUCACGUCGUUGGAACCCUCUGUGUACGUUCCUGUCCCUCUGGCCGGUGGGCAAGGGACCACAUCUCAUUCAUCUUUCUCAUAUCCGGCAAACAGUUGGCAUUGCUACGGGCUGCAGGCUGCAUCUGAGUUGCAGCCUUCCCACAGCAUCGCUGCGCCUCCAGGGGAAGUCCUGGGUCCUUGGCAGCCUCACCAAUGUGCCCAGAAAACCUCACUUUGUGAUCGGUGUGGCCGCCAGGCAGGCAGCUCCCACGUUCCACAGGCUUCAGUCUUUUCUGUCUGGAAGCCCAGAAGUCGGCUUUUUUUUUUUUUUAACUUCUACUGACAGCCCGCGAGUCCUGUGAUUUAUACGAUUAAUAUGAGAAGCAACAUCAUUAUUCCGUUAAUAUAUUAUUCAUUUCACUAGUGAUCUAUUCUCUCCACACCCUGCUCCGAGAGUCAAUUUUCCCUCCCUGCUAUUUUAAUAGAACCGCAUUUUAAAUGGCGAGAAGAG
Molecule: long non-coding RNA, 1042 nt
Filed under: Equus caballus (horse)
Lineage: Eukaryota; Metazoa; Chordata; Mammalia; Perissodactyla; Equidae
Description: lncRNA (ENSECAG00000054488.1)
Source: RNAcentral